Thunnus maccoyii (southern bluefin tuna) is the source of this 2957-nucleotide long non-coding RNA. RefSeq lists it as uncharacterized. The record is from RefSeq and is a predicted model, not a curated record. NCBI's taxonomy places the organism in Eukaryota, Metazoa, Chordata, Actinopteri, Scombriformes, Scombridae. The transcript has 2 exons.
AAGGAGUUCACCAGAUCCGGCAUUAAGCUUGUACCAUCUGUGACUUCAUGUUAUGUAGAGUUGCAGUGUUUUUGUAUGUGAAAUGUUGAAGGAGAUAUAUCAUACUUUUUGUGAUUUUCUGUGAUGUUAAACAUGAUCAAAUCUCCAAAACUUGAGCCUCUGGAGCUUCCGGAAGUCUGCCGAGAAGCAGAGCCCUGUUGCAAUGGUGAAAUUCCCAAAAACCCACCGCUGCUCACCUCCAACCACCAACCACAGCUUUACUGAAGCUAACAAAUGAAAAACCUCUACCUGUGAAUAAAAACGGCAUUACAGCUUCACUGACUUUUGAUCCCAUCCUCUGGUUGUACUGGGCACACACACCUCAACCAACCACUCUGAUAUUGGAACUGCCAAACGGUAUACCAAAGAACUGCAGGCUUUACAAAUACUUAUCACACACAACACACACACACUCACACACACAUGGACCCACACACAUCACCACAGAUUUUAAUUUCCUCUCAGGAUAUGAGAAAAUCUGUGUUAAUAAUGCAAGGUGGGACAGAGAGAGAAAUCAUGAGUCCAGAUCGAAGCAGGCAGGCGUGCUGGGCUGAUUGACAGUUUGAUCUGAUCUGCACUAAUGGAGGACUUGAUGAAGAAGGGCGGGAGGAGGAGGAGGAGGAGGAGGAGGAGGAGGUUUGAACGGCAGCCACUGACUGCUCCUCCAAUAUAUCACGGCUCCCAACAUCUUCCAAACAAGCUCCCAGCCUGCCCUGGGCUAGUGAUGAGCAAAGCAGUACUUUUCAGUGUACUGAGUCAUUAGAAUCAGUUCAUGAAAAAGUUUUCAAAAGGUUCGUUCACCGAAUCGUUCAGCACCCGACCGGAGCUCUGCGUAGCCCGACUCACUGAGCUAAAACACGGCCUAACAUUCUGUACAGCUCGCUAACUAAUUCAGUUGGAUAAAAAUACUGUUUGCAAACUGGAAGCUGCUAUAACAAAGUCCUACCCUGUCAUGUACAGCACAUACAUUUUCACGACACCUAAUUAUUAAAUAAAAUAUUUGGUACUACUUCGAGACUUCAAGACAUGAGAGGGAGGGAGAGGGGCGAGUUUGAGCGACUCAGCGACUGUCAUCAUUCAGGGCUCGCGUUCAUUGUGGAAGUUGAGUGAAUGAAUCACUGAACAUGCACCGCUCCCUCGCAGCGAAAGGAACUGAGACUAAAACACCUGUUUUUUCAUACUGCAGGUUUCACCAGGCAUUUUAAACUAAUGAAAAAAUCCAGGGAUUGUCAAACGUAACCUAGGUCAUUUUAAAUGUAUUUGAAAUCUAAUGAGUACAGAUGCUGCAAUUUUGUUUAUGCACUCUAUCCCAUCACAUCUCUCAUAUUGUGUCACAACUUGAAAAUCUAAUUCUUACCACCAUUGCAGUAUUGUUCAGAAGUAUAAUCUCUUCACUUUUUAAUUUUUAGUUUUUUUGUUCAUGGUUAACGUUAAGUUUAUUACACAAGAUUUUUAACAAUGUUGCCUCAUAAACAAACUCUUAAACAAUUUGUAACAAACUGUAACACUGGCACAAGGCUGACACAAGCCUCCACUAGAGGCGACUGUUACAUUAAAUUUCAGUCCACAAAGUUUAGCCGGACUGCUUCUUCCAAUCAUCGCGACCAGAUUGUGGAACAUCUUGCUAAUUAGUAACAGAGAGUCCAGAACUUUUAAAAACUUUAAAUCUUGCAUUAAAGAAAGAAAACCAGUCUUGCAGUCAUUAAAGUUUAAGGCCUUUAUUUAUUUAUUUUUAAUGUAAUGCUAUGCACUGUAUUGUAUUUUAUGUAUCUGUAAUGUCAUUUUACUACGUUUGUCGCUUACUACUCUGAACUGUGUGUCACUGACGACUCCCAUCAAGGGACUGCAGAUGGAACUAUCUGGUGCAAUAUGAGUAAUGUGUCAAACAAACAAAUAAAACAUGUAUUGCAACUAUGUGUCUUGUUAACUAUUUUUAUUACACUGAAAUGAAAACCAGAAAUAGUAAGAGUGGGAAAUAUAAAUUACAGUGCAAAUAAAAACGGCAUAAACAAGAAAAUAAAUAUAGACUACAACUGCAGCGCAAAAACAAAUAUCAAGAGCAUAAUUGACAAGACAUACAAAUAAAAACUGCAUUUAGAAAAUAUCAGGUGGAAAAUAUUGACUUAAGUGUGCAAUCAAAAAGAAAAUAAAUAGCCUAACUGUGGCGCAAAACAAAUAUAAAGUCAAGAGACUGAACAAAUUAUGAAAAAAUACAACAUUCACAGGUGUCAAACAGAUGAAAAACGCAACUGACAAAGAUAUGAACAGAUCAUUUCAGGAAGUGAUUCAGUUCACUUCGUUCACCCAAAAGAGCCGUUCUUUUAAACGAAUCGUUCACGAACCACAAAACACUAGUGCCACGUGUGUGUUUGUGUGUGUGUUGUGUGCGUGUCAGCUGUCUGAUUGUGUAUGUUUGUGUGCAGCAGACAGCGUGUGGGUGUGUGCCCGUGGUGUGUCAAGUUGGAGAGAACCGGGUUUUUAAUCAGAGUUCAUUUUCCCCCCCAAAUCUAAUUAGAAGUGUGAGGGUGGCAGGGUUUGGAGAAGUGGGGAGGGAGAGCUGGAGGGGAAGAGGGGGAAUUAAAUCCAAAUGAAAAGUGCCUUCCGUGUCGACCUGAAUCUAAUGUGUGGCAGAAGAAGAGCAGGAGAAGCUAAUAACGUUGCAUCGCCCCUCCAAGGUUAGCGUGGCAAAACAAAAACAAAUUAGCGCUCCAAAACCCGUCCGCUCGCAGUGAGCGCAGAGGCAGGGAGGAACUGAGGAGCAAAUAAAGACGAAACAAGGGAUGGAGAGAAGAGACUUCCACAGGUGGAACUAAUUAAUUAUCUCCUGGAGAGACGAGGAGAGGGGCAGAGGAGAGAGCGGGAGAGGAAACGAGAGGGAAGGAGGAGAGGAGAGGAGAAAGCACGAGACAAACAUGUCU